AGUGAACGCUGGCGGUAGGCCUAACACAUGCAAGUCGAACGGCAACACACUACUUGCUUGCUCUUACGGGUUGCGAGUCGCGUACGGGAGAGGAAUAUAUCGGAAUCUACUCUUUCGUGUGGGUUAACGUAGGGAAACUUACGCUAAUAUCGCAUACGCCCUACGAGUGAAAGCAGUGGAUCUUUGCACCUUGCGGGAUUGAAUUCGCGGCUGACGGAUUAGCUAGUUGGCGGGGUAAAGGCCCACCAAGGCGACGAUCCGUAGCUGGUCUGAGAGGAUGGUCAGCCACACUGGAAGUGAGACACGGUCCAGACUCCUACGAGAGGGAGCAGUGGGGAAUAUUAGACAAUGGGGGGGAGCAUGAUCCAGCCAUACGGAGUGGGUGAAGAAGACGUUGGGGUUGUAAAGACGGUUUGUUGGGAAAGAAAAGCAGCAGGUUAAUACCCCGCGGUUGUGACGGUACUGGAAGAAGAAGCACCGGCUAACUACGUG
This 492-nucleotide ribosomal RNA is filed under the name uncultured bacterium. RNAcentral's name for it is "partial 16S ribosomal RNA". It matches the Rfam family "Bacterial small subunit ribosomal RNA", at positions 29 to 507 of the family's 1533-position model. The record is from RNAcentral.